This 337-nucleotide long non-coding RNA is filed under the name Scleropages formosus (Asian bonytongue). RNAcentral describes it as "lncRNA (ENSSFOG00015025168.1)". The record is from RNAcentral. Lineage: Eukaryota; Metazoa; Chordata; Actinopteri; Osteoglossiformes; Osteoglossidae.
CGGGAGUGCAAGCGGAGCAGCGCCUGGUGGAACGAGCGGGGCUCUCCUUGCCCUGCUCGAGGAGUCACGUGACUCGGGCGGGAUGUAUUGAAGUGUCUGAAGUGGCUCGCGACCUCCAGCUGCGGCACAACGGUGCCUUGCGGGACGCCAUCCAUCGCGAGCCCACGAUUCAUCCAGAUGGGUUAACCUCUGCUUUCUAAUCAGCGGCCCGGUGGCCCUUUCUCCUCCUCUUCUCAUCACCGCACAGCGGUCAAUUGAAUUCCGACUCGGAACCAAGCCUCCCAAAAAAAGGGAAUCAUGAAAAAAUCAGUCUGCCGCGCAGUCUUUCUGAAGCAGA